Molecule: long non-coding RNA, 647 nt
Filed under: Homo sapiens (human)
Lineage: Eukaryota; Metazoa; Chordata; Mammalia; Primates; Hominidae
Description: HSALNT0208424
Source: RNAcentral
GGAACAUAGAACAAAUGGGCAUUCCUAGUAUCUCAACCUAUGUUCCAGGCAAACAUUAUUUCAUCUUUCAAGCCGGUUUGUCCUAGAGUUGCCUAGUUGCUGAGGCUGAAGAAACUGCCAUCUACCACUUAGAACCACGUGGAGGCAUCUCUGAGUCUUCCCUCAUUGCUUUCCCCUGGUCGUGCCUCUGCCAAGACAGCCCCAAAUUUCUUUUACAAAGCCCAUUUUCAAGGACAAGGAGGGAGAAUACCAUGGAAGGAGCAAGUAGCUUUGCUACUUGGAAUGGAAGGAGCAAGUAGCUUUGCUACUUGGAAUGGAAGGAGCAAGUAGCUUUGCUACUUGGAAUGGAAGGAGCAAGUAGCUUUGCUACUUGGAAUGGAAGGAGCAAGUAGCUUUGCUACUUGGAAUGGAAGGAGCAAGUAGCUUUGCUACUUGGAAUGGAAGGAGCAAGUAGCUUUCCUUUAUCCAGAACCCAUAGUUAGUAGCUUUCACUACUAGAAGGCUUGGUUUGAAUUCUGUGUCUGGGAACAAUUGUGUGAGAAGCCUUGUCUCCCUGCUAUUGUGUCAGUAGUGGUUAAGGUGACACUGGAAGAGGGAAAAGGAACCAAGGUACUUCAUACACCCGAAUACCCAUUUCUUUUCUUUUC